GCUAUAAAAAACAUAGAUUCACUCUGGAUCAAAAAUUUCGGAGUCCCGCGAUUCUCACGGUGAAGCUCGAUCGAGGUUUUCCCUGAAACAGAGGGACGGAGAUGCUCGCAUCUGAGAAAAUUGCCUAAAACCAAGUUGAUUGAAGGUUGUAAACUUCAUAUCUAGGGUUUACCCUCUUUCCAAAUUAGACGAUCGACUCUGAGAUUUGAAUCUGCAAAAUCGAAGCUUGAUUUAAGCAACAAUCUCGAAGACAUGCAAUUGGGUUUAACAAGUUCAUCACCAUCAAGCCUUGGAUUUCCUCAAAUUAAGUGCACCAUUUUUGUUCUAACUGAGGUCUGAGAGUAACUGCACCAAAACCCGGGUGCCUUAAGUUUCACAUUUGGUCCUUCACAUACCAGGUGGGGAAAAAAAUCUCAGACCUUAUUCGAGCUUCAGGCAACCAGACGUCUGGUUCAGAGCAGGGCAGGUAGCAAACAGAACUUACCCAAGUAGCAAUAGAUUUGAUUGAGUUUUGAUGUGAUAGAACCAACAGGAGAUUCUAAUAGUAGGUCACAGGACAUUGCUUCAUGGCCUAGUGCCGUUUCUCAUUACAUGUUGGAGGGUAUAUUGAAGCAGUACAAGAGUGGUAAGAGUGGAGAUAAUGGAUUGAAAAAAGAGCAGUUUAUUGAAAUUGCCAACCAACUGAAAGAGAAAUUAUUUACUAGUUACGACUGUGAACAAGUGAGAAACCACUUCCGGAUUUGGAAGCAAAAGCUUAGAGCAUUGAGUGACCUACAUAAGCAAAGUGGAUUGGGUUGGAAUGCAUCUGAUAUGAGAUUUGAUGCUCCUCAACACUUCUGGAAUGAUUAUAGGAAAAAAGAACAAAAGUAUUGGAAGGAACAUAGUGUGCUCCCAAUUCACCUUGAAGUUGGAGCUUUGCUAAGGAAAGAGAUGGCAACUGGGAAUGAUUCAACAGUCCCCUCUGAAGCUGCCACUGAAGUUAUGAUGGACAUGACAGGUACUCAGGUUAAAGGAAUAUGGAACAACGAUGGUGUUGACUAUGAACCUAUUGAAGAAGAAGAAAGUGUUCCUUCCACUCCCAUUGGUAGUACCAGCCGUUCUCGAGGAAGACCUCGUGGCUCCGUCAAUAGUGGUAGAGAAAAGAGGAAGAAGGGUGCAGCUAAAAAAGGUGGUAAGUCCAUUGAAAUCGAUUGCUAACUCAAUCGAGAAGAUGGUAAUGAGUGAAUCUCAGUCUGAAUUUGGGAGAAUAAUUAUAGAUGUUGUUGAUGCUAUUCCAGACCUCAAUUUUCAACAAAAGUUUAAGGCCAAGGAAUAUUUCAUGGCCAAGAAGAAUUCUGCCAUUAUCUUCUUGGAAACAAGAGUAGAAGAUAGACGAAAUCUGCUUGAGAUGUACUUGCCAGAGAUUGAGAAGAAUUGAGGUGACAAAAGGAAGUGUUUGGACAUUCUACGACAAUGGUUUUAUUGAAUAGAAAAUGCAUCUGUUUGGUUGAUGUAACUUGAUGUUAUGUUAAGUCUGUGACAAUGGUGGCAUAUAGUCGUAAGAAAUAUUAAGACAAUGGUUCUUU
Molecule: long non-coding RNA, 1565 nt
Organism: Macadamia integrifolia
Lineage: Eukaryota; Viridiplantae; Streptophyta; Magnoliopsida; Proteales; Proteaceae
Exons: 7
Source: RefSeq, a predicted model, not a curated record